CCUACGGGAGGCAGCAGUGGGGAAUAUUGCUCAAUGGGGGAAACCCUGAAGCAGCAACGCCGCGUGGGGGAAGAAGGUUUUCGGAAUGUAAAGCCCUUUUAGCAGGGAAGAAAAUGACGGUACCUAACUAAGAAGCACCGGCUAACUACGUGCCAGCAGCCGCGGUAAUACGGAGGGUGCAGGCGUUAUUCGGAUUAACUGGGCGUAAAGCGGGCGUAGGGGGGUUAGCAAGUCAGAUGUGAAAUACUAGGGCUUAACCAGAGAACUGCAUUUGAAACUGUCAGUCUGGAGGAUGGGAGAGGUAGGCGGAAUUCGUGGUGUAGGGGUGAAAUGCGUAGAGAUCAGGAGGAACACUGAUGGCGAAGGCGGCCUGCUGGACUGCAACUGACGCUGAGGCUCGAAAGCGUGGGGAGCAAACAGGAUUAGAUACCCGAGUAGUC
This 440-nucleotide ribosomal RNA is filed under the name uncultured bacterium. Its description in RNAcentral is "partial 16S ribosomal RNA". It matches the Rfam family "Bacterial small subunit ribosomal RNA", at positions 338 to 795 of the family's 1533-position model. The record is from RNAcentral.